AUUGAACGCUGGCGGCAGGCCUAACACAUGCAAGUCGAACGGUAACAGGAAACCGCUUGCUGUUUCGCUGACGAGUGGCGGACGGGUGAGUAAUGUCUGGGAAACUGCCUGAUGGAGGGGGAUAACUACUGGAAACGGUAGCUAAUACCGCAUAACGUCGCAAGACCAAAGAGGGGGACCUUCGGGCCUCUUGCCAUCGGAUGUGCCCAGAUGGGAUUAGCUAGUAGGUGGGGUAACGGCUCACCUAGGCGACGAUCCCUAGCUGGUCUGAGAGGAUGACCAGCCACACUGGAACUGAGACACGGUCCAGACUCCUACGGGAGGCAGCAGUGGGGAAUAUUGCACAAUGGGCGCAAGCCUGAUGCAGCCAUGCCGCGUGUAUGAAGAAGGCCUUCGGGUUGUAAAGUACUUUCAGCGGGGAGGAAGGGAGUAAAGUUAAUACCUUUGCUAAUUGACGUUACCCGCAGAAGAAGCACCGGCUAACUCCGUG
Molecule: ribosomal RNA, 490 nt
Filed under: uncultured bacterium
Lineage: Bacteria
Description: partial 16S ribosomal RNA
Rfam family: Bacterial small subunit ribosomal RNA
Source: RNAcentral